GUAUUUAUUUACUUUAAUAAAAGAUAUAUAUUUAAUUUUUAAUUGUUUUAAAUUUUUUUAAUCUUUUUAUUAUUAUUAUAUUCUCCACAGGAAUAAUUUGAAGACCGCUCCAUCUAGCUCCCUCCACAGCCAGACACAGCAACGAUCCUCCAGCUCCAUUCAGGCCGUGAAGGUGGACAGCUUUCUCUGAGCUGCUUUGGCCGUUUGCUGUUUGCUCAGCCUCCUGUUCCUCUCAAGGAUUUUCCCCCCGAGCCUGCACAUCACAAUUUUUUUUAUUGCUAUUGUCUCCAAUAGAAUUGCAUGCUCAGGGUGUGAGCUGAAGAGGCUUUUGAACACCCCCAGACUGCCCAGAGCCCUCUCCAUUUUUUUGGUGAUCUGGGUGAGAGUUAGUUAGUUAGUUAGUUAUAUAUGCUCCUUAUAACGGCUAGCCGUUGGGAGUUGCUGGACCGGCCCAAUUGUCGAUCCAGCAGCUGUCGAAGACAGCACGACAUCAGUCAACCCUGACAUCAGUCAGGGUUAGGUACCUUGUCAAGGACACCUCGACACUCAGCUAGGAAAAGCCGGGGAUCGAACCAGCAGCCUUCAGGUUACCAGCCAACCCGCUCUACCUCCUGAGCUACUGCCGGGCCGUAGAGAGAUACCAGAAAGCGUCGAUGUUCCAUCCAAAUUCCCCUUCCAAAAGCUGGAUGGCAGCGAAAAACCCUUCCAAAGGCCUCAUUAGGUUUGCCGUUGCCGUGUAUUUUUUUGCCUCCAGGAAGGGGUGGUCCUCACUUGUGGCAUAGCUGUGGUCCUGCUCUGGCACCCAACAGCAGCACCUCACAGUGUGGACAGGCCUGAACAAUUUCCUCCUUUUGAAGGACCCGGACAAGCCAGCCAGCAACGUAGAACAGGCCCUCCUCCUGGAUGCAAUCGCCAACAGUCUACAAAAGGUGAGGGACAUCAAAAAUCACAGGAACCCUCUGAACCCCCACCAGGAUACAGUGGGACUCCUCACCUCCCAGAGGGUCCAGGCUAGCCCCAAGGUUCCGCACAGCCUUCACAUUAGGGCUUCCCUGCUCACAUAUUGCUAUAAUAAUAAUAAUAAUACAUUUAAUUUAGAGGCGCCUUUCAAGACACCCAAGGUCACCUUACAGAGCAUCUAGUCAUCAUUCAAAACUAUGUAAAACAGACUGGGAAUAAAAGGAAAACAGAGGUUAAACAUGAAGAAUAAUAAUAAUUAAUAACACUCAAAGACGCCUAAAGUGAAGGGGGGACCUCACUAACCACCACCAAUAUGUAGCACCCACUUGGGUGGUGCACGGCAGCCAAUCGGUGCCAGAACGCUCACUACACACCAGCUUGAGGUGGAGAGUUAGGGAUGAGGUGGAGAGUGAGGGAAAAGAACAUUUAACACUAUCGAUCACAUUUAAACAAUAUCGACCACAUGUAAACACUAUCGACCACAUUUAAACACUAUGGACCACAUGUAAACCCUAUCGACCACAUAUAAACACUAUCGCCCCAGUAGCGACGCUACUGCCUGCACCUUUGAAAUUGGUUAAUACAUUGUUGUCAAUACAAGGUUGGAGUUAAUGUUCAUUUGUUCAGUGUUAAUGCUGCUAUUUAAAAAAUAAAUAAUAAUAAAACUC
Molecule: long non-coding RNA, 1628 nt
Organism: Gadus morhua (Atlantic cod)
Lineage: Eukaryota; Metazoa; Chordata; Actinopteri; Gadiformes; Gadidae
Source: Ensembl